This 476-nucleotide ribosomal RNA is filed under the name uncultured organism. RNAcentral's name for it is "partial 16S ribosomal RNA". It matches the Rfam family "Bacterial small subunit ribosomal RNA", at positions 332 to 799 of the family's 1533-position model. The record is from RNAcentral.
UACACUCCUGCGGGAGGCAGCAGUGGGGAAUUUUGGACAAUGGGCGAAAGCCUGAUCCAGCAAUGCCGCGUGAGUGAAGAAGGCCUUCGGGUUGUAAAGCUCUUUUGUCAGGGAAGAAACGGUGAGAGCUAAUAUCUCUUGCUAAUGACGGUACCUGAAGAAUAAGCACCGGCUAACUACGUGCCAGCAGCCGCGGUAAUACGUAGGGUGCAAGCGUUAAUCGGAAUUACUGGGCGUAAAGCGUGCGCAGGCGGCUUUGUAAGUCUGAUGUGAAAUCCCCGGGCUCAACCUGGGAAUUGCAUUGGAGACUGCAAGGCUAGAAUCUGGCAGAGGGGGGUAGAAUUCCACGUGUAGCAGUGAAAUGCGUAGAUAUGUGGAGGAACACCGAUGGCGAAGGCAGCCCCCUGGGUCAAGAUUGACGCUCAUGCACGAAAGCGUGGGGAGCAAACAGGAUUAGAAACCCCUGUAGUCCCAUG